CCUACGGGGCGCACCAGUGGGGAAUAUUGCACAAUGGGCGCAAGCCUGAUGCAGCCAUGCCGCGUGUAUGAAGGAGGCCUUAGGGUUGUAAAGUACUUUCAGUUGGGAGGAAGGCGUUGAUGCUAAUAUCAUCAACGAUUGACGUUUCCAACAGAAGAAGCACCGGCUAACUCCGUGCCAGCAGCCGCGGUAAUACGGAGGGUGCAAGCGUUAAUCGAAAUUACUGGGCGUAAAGCGCACGCAGGCGGUUGAUUAAGUUAGAUGUGAAAUCCCCGGGCUUAACCUGGGAAUGGCAUCUAAGACUGGUCAGCUAGAGUCUUGUAGAGGGGGGUAGAAUUCCAUGUGUAGCGGUGAAAUGCGUAGAGAUGUGGAGGAAUACCGGUGGCGAAGGCGGCCCCCUGGACAAAGACUGACGCUCAGGUGCGAAAGCGUGGGGAGCGAACAGGAUUAGAUACCCUGGUAGUC
RNAcentral lists this ribosomal RNA (465 nucleotides) under uncultured bacterium. Its description in RNAcentral is "bacterial SSU rRNA". It matches the Rfam family "Bacterial small subunit ribosomal RNA", at positions 338 to 795 of the family's 1533-position model. The record is from RNAcentral.